RNAcentral lists this ribosomal RNA (669 nucleotides) under uncultured bacterium. RNAcentral describes it as "bacterial SSU rRNA". It matches the Rfam family "Bacterial small subunit ribosomal RNA", at positions 109 to 764 of the family's 1533-position model. The record is from RNAcentral.
AGUAACACGUGGGCAACCUGCCUGUAAGUUGGGGAUAACUCCGGGAAACCGGGGCUAAUACCGAAUGAUAAAGUGUGGCGCAUGCCACGCUUUUGAAAGAUGGUUUCGGCUAUCGCUUACAGAUGGGCCCGCGGUGCAUUAGCUAGUUGGUAGGGUAAUGGCCUACCAAGGCAACGAUGCAUAGCCGACCUGAGAGGGUGAUCGGCCACACUGGGACUGAGACACGGCCCAGACUCCUACGGGAGGCAGCAGUAGGGAAUCUUCCGCAAUGGACGAAAGUCUGACGGAGCAACGCCGCGUGUAUGAAGAAGGUUUUCGGAUCGUAAAGUACUGUUGUUAGAGAAGAACAAGGAUAAGAGUAACUGCUUGUCCCUUGACGGUAUCUAACCAGAAAGCCACGGCUAACUACGUGCCAGCAGCCGCGGUAAUACGUAGGUGGCAAGCGUUGUCCGGAUUUAUUGGGCGUAAAGCGCGCGCAGGCGGUCUUUUAAGUCUGAUGUGAAAGCCCCCGGCUUAACCGGGGAGGGUCAUUGGAAACUGGAAGACUGGAGUGCAGAAGAGGAGAGUGGAAUUCCACGUGUAGCGGUGAAAUGCGUAGAUAUGUGGAGGAACACCAGUGGCGAAGGCGACUCUCUGGUCUGUAACUGACGCUGAGGCGCGAAAGCGUGG